GACGAACGCUGGCGGCACGCCUAACACAUGCAAGUCGAACGCCCUCUUCGGAGGGAGUGGCGGACGGGUGAGUAACGCGUGGGAACCUGCCCCGUGGUGGGGAAACCCGAGGGAACUUGGGUUAAUACCGCAUGAGCCCGGCUCCUUGGUGGGGCGUGGGGAAAGAUUUAUCGCCAUGGGAUGGGCCCGCGUCGGAUUAGCUAGUUGGUGGGGUAAUGGCCUACCAAGGCUUCGAUCCGUAGCUGGUCUGAGAGGACGAUCAGCCACACUGGGACUGAGACACGGCCCAGACUCCUACGGGAGGCAGCA
RNAcentral lists this ribosomal RNA (309 nucleotides) under uncultured bacterium. Its description in RNAcentral is "bacterial SSU rRNA". It matches the Rfam family "Bacterial small subunit ribosomal RNA", at positions 28 to 353 of the family's 1533-position model. The record is from RNAcentral.